GCAGAAAUGAGGUCUGUCGCUGCGUGAAAUCAUAAGGAUUCACGAAGAGGAAAGUCCGGGCAACAUAGAGUACCGCACAUCCUAACGGGAAGCCGGCGGUGACGUCGGGGCAAGUGUGACAGAAAACAACCGCCUCCCCUCCCGGGGAGGUAAGGGUGAAAAGGCGGGGUAAGAGCCCACCGGCUCCGGAGGCGACUCCGGAGGCCGCAUAUCCUGCGGGUUGCAAGGCCAAAUACACCGACAGUUAAGGAUUGCUCGUCCAUUGUCGGGGGGUAGGCUGCUUUAGCCUCCGGGAGACCGGCGGCAUAGAUAAAUGACAGACACCGGCUCAGGCCGGCACAUAACCCGGCUUAUAUCUUUUCUGCAUCU
Molecule: RNase P RNA, 369 nt
Filed under: Muribaculaceae bacterium
Lineage: Bacteria; Pseudomonadati; Bacteroidota; Bacteroidia; Bacteroidales; Muribaculaceae
Description: RNase P RNA component class A
Rfam family: Bacterial RNase P class A
About the family: Ribonuclease P (RNase P) is a ubiquitous endoribonuclease, found in archaea, bacteria and eukarya as well as chloroplasts and mitochondria. Its best characterised activity is the generation of mature 5'-ends of tRNAs by cleaving the 5'-leader elements of precursor-tRNAs.
Source: RNAcentral